Molecule: ribosomal RNA, 691 nt
Filed under: Saprolegnia sp. UNCW377
Lineage: Eukaryota; Oomycota; Saprolegniomycetes; Saprolegniales; Saprolegniaceae
Description: eukaryotic LSU rRNA
Rfam family: Eukaryotic large subunit ribosomal RNA
Source: RNAcentral
AAGCAUAUCAUUAAGCGGAGGAAAAGAAACUAACAAGGAUUCCCCCAGUAACGGCGAGUGAAGCGGGAAGAGCUCAAGCUUAAAAUCUCCAUACUUGUAUGGCGAAUUGUAGUCUAUUGAGGCUGUUGUCAGCAUCGCGAUUGGGGACAAGUCCCUUGGAAAAGGGCAGCAUAGAGGGUGAUACUCCCGUCUCUGCUCCAAUCUGCGGUGUGUACGAUACGCUUUCUUUGAGUCGAGUUGUUUGGGAAUACAGCUCAAAGUAGGUGGUAAAUUCCAUCUAAAGCUAAAUAUUGGUGCGAGACCGAUAGCGAACAAGUACCGUGAGGGAAAGAUGAAAAGAACUUUGAAAAGAGAGUUAAAGAGUACCUGAAACUGUUGAAAGGGAACCGUAUCGUUUCCAGUGUUGUAUCCUAUGCAUAUUUCAUUCGUGGAGCAAUUUGCGGGUGCCCUGUGCAUGGGUGUGACGUCAGGGUCAGUUUGUAUGCUGCGGGAGAUGGUCAGUGAGGAGGUGCGUCACUUUGGUGAAAGUUAUAUCUCGCUGUCUAGUAGCCGUGGUUGAGACUGAGGUGCCUACAACAUGCCUUAAGGUUCCGUGUUGUCUCGUGUUGGUGACUGCUUUGAUAGCUUGCUAUGUUUGUGGUUUAUUAGUGCGAUUGAUGAUGCGGAUAACUUUUGCUGUUCGGGACUCUGG